GUGAAGAAACGAAAGCGACAGUUACCACCAGAACCGACUAGAAAAUCAGAGAGAACGAAGAGAGUACCAGACAAAUACAAAGACUAUCAUAUGCAUAGCAUUAUUAACACUAGACCACAGUAUGAUCACAGAUUACAAGCAUUGGAAUCUAUGAUUGCUUCAGGUGUGUUGAAGAAUAUAGAAAUAGACACUGCAAGGAAAAUUGUGGAUGCUAUAAUGAAAUAAAUGCUAUAUUGAAUUGAUAUUGAAUUGAAAAUUCUACUUUACUGUACCAAUAAAUACAAAUUUGAGAUAAUUAAAUGUGUUUUAAUAUGUUUUUAAUAUUGAUUUAUUGCGAGGACGCAUAUGUUCCAAAGAAGGGGUGAGAAGAGAGAAGUUGAGCAUAUUUUUUUGCAGGAAAUAUGAUUAUUGAUCAUAAUUUGCGACAUGACGCGUAUGUUUUUUUCGCAAUAAGUAUGAUUAUUUAUCGUUCUUAAGCGACAUUUUGUUGCUUUGAAAUUGUUUUCUUUCGCGACGUUAUAUGCUAGCACGUUGUUCGCGAUAUUUGCGAGAGAAAUUGAUGUCGUUUUGAGACACUAUGCAAACAUACUGAUUUUAUAUGCUUCAAAUUAAAACCAUUUUUUUGUAUUGAAAUGUAUAUUGUUUAAAAAUACAGCAUUGUAUUUUUGAUGCUGUUACAAUGAUAUGAUGUAUAGUUAUUUUAUGGAAAGACAAACAUUUUGUUCUUAAUUGUUGGAUAACCUUUAUAAAGGGGAAUGUUUGCUUCCAUGAAAUGUUGCUAAAUAUAUUUUAACUGACAGACUAAUUGACAUGACAAUGACAUUUGACAUGACAAUGACGGGACGUCAUUUUCUCAAAGCAGGGAAGUGUGUAACCAAAGGGAAAUAAUCAGUUGUAGUUUAUUGAUUGAAAUCUGUAGGAGUGAUUUCCCUUGGCUGUUUUAUUAGUUAAUCAUGCGUGUAAUUGUUCCCGCCGUUUUCUGAGUUGUCAUCAGUUUUUGGUAGAAGGCAGACAUGUUUUUCAGUUGUUUAAAAUAAUAAAUUGGUUAUUAAUUCUUAAAUAGGAUUUUGGAUUGAGUAUGUUGCAGUAACAUCACAAGAUUGAGAGGAUUUUUGUAUGAGUGUCAUUGAGUCCAAUCCACAAUUGGGCUUGAUCUACUUAUUGAUCUACAUAUUAAUCUACUUAUUGAUCUACAUAUUAAUCUUCAUAUUGAUCUACAUAUUGAUAUCUUCUUGAUACUGAUUAUAUAUUGAUUGGUGCUUUUACAAGUGCUUGAUGUGAAGUUGUGAAUGUGAUGUGACUUUAACCUCUUGGGUUAAAUCUACUUGAUCUUUAUAUCGAUAUAGUAAUAUACUGAGAUCAUACAAUGAAUGGACAUUUCAAUUAAAAGUAUUGAACGAACUCAGCCUCGUUGAUAUUUAUUCCUUUACAUCUUUAAGGGCAUAAUUUUAACAAAGGUA
Ruditapes philippinarum (Manila clam) is the source of this 1460-nucleotide long non-coding RNA. RefSeq lists it as uncharacterized. The record is from RefSeq and is a predicted model, not a curated record. Lineage: Eukaryota; Metazoa; Mollusca; Bivalvia; Venerida; Veneridae. The transcript is spliced from 3 exons.